GUUUAAGAAGAAAGUGAAAGUCCAAGCAGUAAAAAUCGAUGCCAGAACAAAACCCAAAUAGCAAAACCCCAGAAUUUAGAACUGUUACCAAAAUCCAAAUAGCAAAACAAAUUAAUGCAAUCUUCGAAACCAUUUUCAGCGAUGCAAUAUAUGUAUGUAUGUAUGUGUGUGUCUGAGAGAGACUUUGCAUACCGAUCAACAAUAUGUUUUGAUUUCCGCCGGAUUUGGGUUUAGAUCCUUUCAUAUCCGCUCAUGGAAGGUCGGAGUUUGACACCACAGAAAGAUUUGUGACGACGAUGAAGCUUCCUAGCAGCCGGUGAUCCAAAGUGUCCAUCGAUUGCGCCGAUUGAAGGAUAUGAGACUGGGGAUUCCAGAUUUUUUUUAAGAGUGGGACUGUUGCGAAGGUUAUUUUUUUAAGAGGGGCACUGUUGUGAAGGUUAUUUUUGUAAAGGACAUUAAAGAGUAUUAAUUAUGAUGGACAGCUGUUGAAAGUUUAGGAGGACAGAUGUCUAAUUUUUAA
Molecule: long non-coding RNA, 520 nt
Filed under: Panax ginseng (ginseng)
Lineage: Eukaryota; Viridiplantae; Streptophyta; Magnoliopsida; Apiales; Araliaceae
Description: long non-coding RNA (PGIN_LNC016278)
Source: RNAcentral